This 377-nucleotide ribosomal RNA is filed under the name uncultured eukaryote. Its description in RNAcentral is "partial 18S ribosomal RNA". It matches the Rfam family "Eukaryotic small subunit ribosomal RNA", at positions 592 to 976 of the family's 1831-position model. The record is from RNAcentral.
CAAUAGCGUAUAUUAAAGUUGUUGCAGUUAAAAAGCUCGUAGUUGGAUUUCGGGGCAGCCUGGCUGGUCCGCCGCAAGGCGAGUACUGGUCAGCCGCCCUUCCUCUCGAAAGCCCCGACUGCUCUUUAUUGCAGUGGUCGGGUAGUUCGGGACGUUUACUUUGAAAAAAUUAGAGUGUUCAAGGAAGGCCUACGCCUGAAUACAUUAGCAUGGAAUAAUGGAAGAGGACCUCGGUCCUAUUUUGUUGGUUUCCAGGACCGAAGUAAUGAUUAAGAGGGACAGUUGGGGGCAUUCGUAUUUAAUUGUCAGAGGUGAAAUUCUCGGAUUUAUGAAAGACGAACAACUGCGAAAGCAUUUGCCAAGGAUGUUUUCAUUAA